UUGAUCUAUAUAAUAAUUUAGAUUAAUUAUCAACUUCAAAUACCUUAUAAUUUCUAAAUACAUGCAUAUGACCCUUUAAUUAACAUUUUACAAAAUUUCCCUGAACAUUUAAAUUUUUUUCAAUUUAAACCUAAAAUCGAAACUAAUAUAUCUUUUAUAAGUAAGCCUCAUUUUUCAAUCUAAUUACAACUCCAUCCUCUUAUAACCCUCUAGAAUAAAAAAAUACAAAAAUUCCAUGUCAAAUUCAACAUAUUUGCAAUUAGGUCCUUAAACUCAAAACUAACAAAAUCCACUUAACAAUUUAAUCCUACUUAACAUCUAAACUCAACAUGCAAC
Molecule: long non-coding RNA, 336 nt
Filed under: Gossypium raimondii (Peruvian cotton)
Lineage: Eukaryota; Viridiplantae; Streptophyta; Magnoliopsida; Malvales; Malvaceae
Description: long non-coding RNA (GRAI_LNC004324)
Source: RNAcentral